CCAAUAGCGCAUACUAAAGUUGUUGCAGUUAAAAAGCUCGUAGUUGAACCUCGGGGUUUACCCAUUGGUCAGGCUUAAUUGUCUGUACUGGUGAGAUGAAUCUCUACCUUCUGAGGAACUUUCAUGCCAUUUAUUUGGUGUGAUGGGAAAGCAGGACUGUUACUUUGAAAAAAUUAGAGUGUUUAAAGCAGGCUAACGCCUGAAUACAUUAGCAUGGAAUAAUGAAAUAGGACCGACUGAUUCUAUUUCGUUGGUUUCUAGGAUCACCGUAAUGAUUAAUAGGGAUAGUUGGGGGCAUUAGUAUUCAAUUGUCAGAGGUGAAAUUCUUGGAUUUAUUGAAGACUAACUACUGCGAAAGCAUUUGCCAAGGAUGUUUUCAUUAAUCAAGAACGAAAGUUAGGGGAUCGAAGACGAUCAGAUACCGUCGUAGUCUUAACCAUAAACUAUGCCGACUAGGGAUCGGACGAAGUUAAUUUUAUAAUGACGCGUUCGGCACCUUACG
Molecule: ribosomal RNA, 502 nt
Filed under: uncultured Glomeromycotina
Lineage: Eukaryota; Fungi; Glomeromycota
Description: partial small subunit ribosomal RNA
Rfam family: Eukaryotic small subunit ribosomal RNA
Source: RNAcentral